Molecule: ribosomal RNA, 478 nt
Filed under: uncultured Planctomycetales bacterium
Lineage: Bacteria; Pseudomonadati; Planctomycetota; Planctomycetia; Planctomycetales
Description: bacterial SSU rRNA
Rfam family: Bacterial small subunit ribosomal RNA
Source: RNAcentral
UUUCGCAAUGCCCGAAAGGGUGACGAAGCGACGCCGCGUGUGGGAAGAAGGCCUUCGGGUUGUAAACCACUGUCGGGAGUUAGGAAAUGCAGGUGCGUUAAUAGCGCACUUGCUUGACUAAGGCUCCAGAGGAAGCCACGGCUAACUCUGUGCCAGCAGCCGCGGUAAUACAGAGGCGGCAAGCGUUGUUCGGAAUUAUUGGGCGUAAAGAGCACGUAGGCGGCCUUGCAAGUCAGUUGUGAGAGCCUUCCGCUUGACGGAAGAACGGCAUCUGAUACUACAGGGCUUGAGUACGGGAGGGGAGAGUGGAACUUCUGGUGGAGCGGUGAAAUGCGUAGAUAUCAGAAGGAACGCCGGCGGCGAAAGCGACUCUCUGGUCCGAAACUGACGCUGAGUGUGCGAAAGCUAGGGGAGCAAACGGGAUUAGAUACCCCGGUAGUCCUAGCCGUAAACGAUGGGCACUAAGUAGAGGGGUUUU